Molecule: ribosomal RNA, 253 nt
Filed under: uncultured bacterium
Lineage: Bacteria
Description: partial 16S ribosomal RNA
Rfam family: Bacterial small subunit ribosomal RNA
Source: RNAcentral
UACGAGUGCCCCAAGCGUUAUCCGGAAUCAUUGGGCGUAAAGGGUGUGUAGGUGGUCUUGUUAGUCUCAUGUCAAAUUCUUCGGCUUAACCGGGGACCGGCACGGGAAACGGCAAGACUUGAGGAUGCGAGAGGUGAAUGGAACUCAUAGUGUAGGGGUGAAAUCCGUUGAUAUUAUGGGGAACACCAAAAGCGAAGGCAAUUCACUGGCGCAUUCCUGACACUGAAACACGAAAGCGUGGGUAGCGAAUGGG